Molecule: long non-coding RNA, 395 nt
Organism: Oreochromis aureus
Lineage: Eukaryota; Metazoa; Chordata; Actinopteri; Cichliformes; Cichlidae
Exons: 3
Source: RefSeq, a predicted model, not a curated record
UAAGUCGUGUCUUCUGUCCUUGUAGUCGCUGGUCCGUCUGUGUAUCUACCAUGUUCCAUUCGUGUGUUCUCCCUGCUGUCACCAUCAUAUACCAUCGUCUAUCUUCCUUCAUGUUCAGGAAGUAAGGAGCAGACGGCUGAGCUCAUCAAACUCCAGGGUGAAAACGAACACCUGUUUACCGGUGCCAAGAACUCAGCCGCUGUGGGUUGGAGGUACAGCCUGGCAGGCAAAAUCACCCCGUUGCAGGCGGGGGAAAAAAAGGGACAACCUAAAGAAAAAAUUAAAAAAUCACAAGUAUCCCGCAUCAGGUGAGGGGGUGAGUGGGAAGACCACUGCUGCUACAUGGCCCUGGUUUGUCCCCAUGGAUGAGGUGUUAGGACAGAGGCCGUCUACCA